This 186-nucleotide non-coding RNA is filed under the name Verrucomicrobiia bacterium. Its description in RNAcentral is "6S RNA". It matches the Rfam family "6S / SsrS RNA". Rfam says of the family: E. coli 6S RNA was the first non coding RNA to be sequenced, but its function was unknown until recently. It consists of 184 nucleotides that fold into an extended hairpin structure with a large single-stranded internal bulge. The record is from RNAcentral. Lineage: Bacteria; Pseudomonadati; Verrucomicrobiota; Verrucomicrobiia.
UUUGCCCUGCCCAUGCUCGUGAUUGGAACAACGUCCUUGAACCGUAAGCUCGAUGCUCAGGGACCCUAGCCCAGAUGGUGGCCGACAGGCCUUUACUGGAAGUCGAAAGCUGCCGGGCGCGUCCCGCCUUGGUUCCUCGCAGUUCAAAGGAACUGUCCCGUACACGGCAUUCACGGUGGGGCAUUU